This 512-nucleotide ribosomal RNA is filed under the name uncultured bacterium. Its description in RNAcentral is "bacterial SSU rRNA". It matches the Rfam family "Bacterial small subunit ribosomal RNA", at positions 34 to 559 of the family's 1533-position model. The record is from RNAcentral.
CGCUGGCGGCGUGCUUACACAUGCAAGUCGUGGGCACCAGCAAUGGUGACCGGCGAACGGGUGCGUAACACGUGAGCGACCUACCGAUUUGUGGGGGAUAGCCGGCCCAACGGCCGGGUAAUACCGCAUACGCCAAGUAGACCGCAUGGUCAUCUUGGGAAACCUCCGGGGCAAAUCGAGGGGCUCGCGGCCUAUCAGCUAGUUGGCGGGGUAAUGGCCCACCAAGGCAUCGACGGGUAGCUGGUCUGAGAGGAUGGCCAGCCACAUUGGGACUGAGAAACGGCCCAGACUCCUACGGGAGGCAGCAGUGGGGAAUCUUGCGCAAUGGCCGAAAGGCUGACGCAGCGACGCCGCGUGUGGGAUGAAGCUCUUCGGGGUGUGAACCACUGUUGCCCGGGACGAACGGCGAGAUUUAUCUCGCGUGACGGUACCGGGUGAGGAAGCACCGGCUAACUCCGUGCCAGCAGCCGCGGUAAUACGGAGGGUGCGAGCGUNGUCCGGAAUCACUGGGC